This is a long non-coding RNA of Dromaius novaehollandiae (emu), 532 nucleotides long. RefSeq lists it as uncharacterized. Lineage: Eukaryota; Metazoa; Chordata; Aves; Casuariiformes; Dromaiidae. The record is from RefSeq and is a predicted model, not a curated record. The transcript is spliced from 3 exons.
AUGAAGAUCAUCAGAGUCCUCAAAGUUGUCCAAGACACACUUCUUCUCCUAGAGUAUACUCAGACAAAUGAUCCUGUUGCUGCUAAUCAUUAGCAAGCAGAUGGGAGAAGAAAUCUCUCUGAUACCUCUUCCUACAAGUUCUGUGACCUUCAGCAGCUGUGCAGAGGAAAUCAGAAUUCCCACUGACGAUGAGGUCUCCUGAUUUUCCGAGGAAUUAGAAGCAUGAAGGAAGCACAUUGAGGUAACCCGGCUUAGUGAAUGAAGUGAGUACCCAAAAGACUGAGGAAACAGAAAAGCCACCAGUUGCUACCUAUAGAUCAUCACUAGAUGUCACUGUGGGAAGUCAUUACAUACUACUGCAACAGGAAGUGCUAAAGAAAAAUAACAUUUUUCUGUUUUAUGUUUACUAGAAGAGUAGCCAGAUGAGCUGGAAAUCACAGAGAAAAAUCUCUCUUGUAAAUUUUGCCAUAGAAUUUUGGAGCAAAAAUCUCUGGAUCAGGCUAAGUAAUUUGGUCUACAUUCCUAAAAAGUU